This 116-nucleotide ribosomal RNA is filed under the name Saimiri boliviensis boliviensis (Bolivian squirrel monkey). Lineage: Eukaryota; Metazoa; Chordata; Mammalia; Primates; Cebidae. The record is from RNAcentral.
AUGGCCAUACCAUCCUGAACACACCCGAUCUCACCUGAUUUCAGAAGCUAAGCAGGGUGGGGCCUGGUUAGUACUUGGAUGGGAGAACUAAAAGGGAAUAUAGUUUGUACAGCAUC